This is a long non-coding RNA of Solenopsis invicta (red fire ant), 6310 nucleotides long. RefSeq lists it as uncharacterized. The transcript has 7 exons. NCBI's taxonomy places the organism in Eukaryota, Metazoa, Arthropoda, Insecta, Hymenoptera, Formicidae. The record is from RefSeq and is a predicted model, not a curated record.
AUUAAGAAUCACCGCAUGCACAUGUAUAUAUAUUUAUUCAUUAUAUACGUAUUCAUUAUAUUCUACAAAUAUUUUAUCAGUAAUGAUAACAGCGAUAAUAAAAUUGCAAUAACAAUAAUUAUACAAUAACGAUAAUGGUAAGAGGGUAUAAUAAUAACGAGUGGAGAUUGUAGAAAAUUAAAUGGGGAAUUAUUAAAAAACGCCAGUUAUAGCAAUAACAGAUAAGUAACACAGCAGAACGAGACCUGUUAUUUCUUAUAGUUUUUUGGGUGCUGAAUACGAAUCCGAUUUCCAAAUUGAUCCAUCAUGUCAAAAUUUAAGAGAUGACUAUUUAAAUUAUUUAAAACUAAGGGAGAUUUCUUUAGAUCGCUGAACAUGAAUCUAAUGUUAAAAUUAAGGAAGACUCCAUAUUUCUUUAAAGUCAUGAAUAUCUUGUUAACCAUAGUUACAAUCAAUCUAUAGUUAGACUAUCGAUCUAUAAUUACACAUUGCAUCGUAGUUACAAUAUUGGCAAAAUGAAAAUAGUUCUUUGUAAAUUUCUCAAAAUUGCGACAUGAUGGAGCAAUUUGGCAAAAGAAUUCGUUUUCAGCAACCAAGAAAACUGUAAGAAAUGACUAGUCUCGUUCUAAUGUUUGAAAGUCUUUUUUUUAAUUGUAUAAAGUGUAAACUCGAAAUGGAGUUCAUUUGCAACUUAUUUUAUCUUCGUCAUUAUUAUAUACAAUUAUCAGUUAUUAUAAUUAUUAUCAUCGUUAACGUUAUUUAUUAACAUCUUCGAUACCAUUCGUUGAAGAACACUUUAACAUAUCUGCAAUUAUGUUCUUUCUGUUUUUCGGUGAUAACCGGGCGAUAAUUUUAUUACUCUCACGAUAAAAUAUAUCGAAUUGGACUUGCGGAAAAACUAUUUUAACCAAUAGUACGCAUACAAUAUUGGACUGGAAUGAUCUUUCAAUAAUUUCUAGUAAGUUUUUUACAAGUCUAAAAAAAGGACAAAACAUCCUUAAUCUAAAUCCGCGAUUCAAAUCUCGCGCCCUCCGCCGCGACCGAAAGUUCUAGAAAGAGGGGGGGGGGGGACGGAGAGUGAAUCGGACUAAAGUAAGUCGCACGUUCGAAUCUCAACGGCAACGUUCCCGACGUUUACACGAGGGUGCCACACAAUAUCCUGGGAGACAGAUAAAAACGAUCUAUUCGCAGAGCGACGGGCGAGAAAAGGGAAAAUGCGCGGCGGAAAAUGCCACCCCCUCGGCAGUCGGGAGAGGAAGAUUCCGCGACGUGGUUGUCGAUUGCUCGUAAUAUCCUUGCGAUAUGUACAAUUAAUAUCUACCUCGACAUCGUCAAAGCCAGUGUACUCCUCAACGAGCUCCAGAAGCGGCUCCAGGCACUGCAGAGGUGUAGUAGUGCCGCAAGUCUUCAGUAUGAGUCUGCGUUUGGACACAAACAUACUGCUCUCACUGCGGACAAAUAUAUAAUCACAUGAUUAGCCGUUUCGCUGAUGACAAAAUAUGCGGUUUUUAUUGAAUCUUCAACGCACAUUUUCUGACAGUCCAUGCUCGGGGAAUUCCACGUUCGGAGGAUGCUUGGAUUUCGCGAGUCGUCAUUAGCUCUGGGAGAUAUCGAUCGUUUGCAGAGACGUAAAAGGAAAAGAAAUGAUUCCAAGAAAACAGUGAGAUUAAUUUGCGGAGAAACUCUUUGGAAACUUUGAGAAGGGUCACCGUUUAUCCUUUCGGAUCUAAGGAUAAUAUAAGUCGUCGCCAUCAUUAUUACUAAUUAGGAGCAAAAAUAUUGGAAAAUUCGCAUGCGAUUGUUCGCCUAAGUUUGUUUAAAGGUUCAAACUAUAAAAAACGAAACAUAAAUACAGGAGUCAAGCUGGUUUUGUGUGUUUGCGUAAAAUUUAUAAUAAUCUACAAGUAUAAAAACCUUCGUGUUUCUGCUAAAUCAAUACAAUUCAUUGUCAAAAAUCGGCAGCAGAAUUUAGUGUGAUGUAACGGAAGCAAAUUUCAGACAGGUAUAUAAAAAAAAUUUAAUGUACAUUUAAUGUAAAUUUAACGUUGUCUAAGUUGCACUAAAGUUCAUGCACACGCUUUACAGUUAUAGAUAUAUUAAAUUUAACGUACAACUUAAAAAUACAUCGAAUGACACUUUUAACAGUGUAUUCCUUUCUACUAUAUUUGUGCUGCGAAAGUAUUCUUUUCCAAGAUGAUAACAACAAAUCGUUGCCAUCAGUACUGCUGAUUGAUAGCGAAAAUACUCGAAGAUUCGCAUACGCACGACCGCUAUCGAAUUACUGGAAGAGGGAGAGAGGGUUAAAACGCGCGCGGAGGGUUAAAACGCGCGAAAGUGUCACCUUGACCAUAUUUAUUUAUAGGGGCGGCACUAGGUCGACUCGCGCACCCUCAAAUAUUCUGGAACCGGGGCACGUCGCAUCCCGUCCCAUCCCAUCCCAUCUCAUCCCGUCCCAUCUCAUCCCGCCGCCGUGUCGCGACCGGCCGGGCCGGGCCGGACGGUGCACCUCUUCUCCAUCAAAACAAUUCGAUAUAUCGAUUAUACCACACCGGUACGGGCGGCUGAGUGUUUCUCUCUCUCUCUCUCUCUCUCUCGUUCUUUUUUCUCGGAACGCCCCUUGGAGCACCAACCCUCUCCCGGCUUUCUACGCGCGUCACGAAAAAUUGCGCCGUUGGUCGCACCCUCCGAGCACCCGCGCUCGCUUCUCGCCCAUCUGCGCGGCCUAACAAUUAGCUCCGCGUUUCCCGUCAGACGUAGAUUACCGUCGUUGCUCUGAUUUACUAGGGAUGGCAAGCGACGCGUUACAAGUAACGAAUUACUCCCAUUUUUCUCCUCAACUUGAAUUGAACUUCUUCAGCUCAAGUAUUUGUAUAUUUAAGUUAAAUAUAUAAAUGCUUAAACUGAAGUUCAAGAUCUCAUGUAUUUAAGUUGAAUAUUUCAACUGAAGAAAUUUAAUCUACACUCGUUGUUAGUCAAAAGUAAGCGGUACGGCAGAAAAAUUGGAAAAGUUUACGAAACUUCAAACUUGUAUCUCAGUGAAUAAUUAUAAUACAGAGAUGUUAAAAAAAAAAAAAACGAACAUCAAGCUUGCAGUCUGUACUUUGAAAGACUUUCAAUGUCGAAUGAAUAUCGAAGUAUCAUCAAUAAUUUUCCAAUGGCCGAUAGAGUUGAUAGAAUCGAGGACUACAGAAUUGACAAGUAGAACAUUCUGUUUCUGGAGUUGCAAUUGACACAGUUCAGUGGAAUGAAAAGGGCGUGAAAUUUCAAAAUGCAUUUGUGCAGAACCCGAUACGAUAAGUUAUGUCAUUCUAAAAAAAAAUGAGUUUUCGUACGAAACAACGAUAAUUGUGAAAUGUAAUGCCGUCAUUAUCAAUUCAACCCAUUGCAAUUCUGUCUAAGACAUUUCGCGUUGGUUGUUUGAAAUGGAAAUGAGAAAUUAAUUUUUUUUCUAAUUUUAUGCGUUAAAAGUUAAUUACAAGUCACAUUUUAAUGUACGAACUUUAUGUUCAUUUAUAUGACAACAUGUCUUUUGCCAAAGGUCUAGCUCACAGGAACAAAAGAGUAAUGAAAAAUAUUAAAAAAAAUCUCGUAAAUCUGGAAAUACUGAGAUCUUAUUUUAAACACAGAAAGCGAGCGAGAAAAUGAGAAUCUUGGAAAAGAAUAGAUUUAUCUUCAUAAACCGGAAAUUAAACUGCAAUUGAAACCUUUUUGCUAAAACCCAUUUGACAUUUCCUGAAAAACUUUCUCUACUAUUUUCCCUUCUAGGGAACGCUCCGAAGAAAGCGUAGAAAUUCUGAUUUCACGAUAUAUUGAACUCGAGAACUAUUGCAGCUCAAUACUUUCCCUUCCCCAAAAAGUUUUCAGACGAAAAACAGGGAGAAGAGAAGCUGCUGAAAAAUGUUCCGAUAGAAAUACGACAGCUAUUGUCUCCAACUGAUGCAAUACGAGUUUUGUCGAGCUGAACGGAAUUUCGAUCGAGACAUACAUCGCGCUGAAACAAUCCGAAAGAAGCCUGGCUUCGAAGUGGACCGUAAUAUAAUUCAGAUGAAUAAAAUUCCUGUCCGAGGACCUAAUCCAAAAGUACGCAAUGCCGCAACACUUUCGCAUUGCGCAUCUUUCCGCAUAAAUAUCGGAAGACGACGUUUGUCGUCUGAAUUUUUUAAUCAGCAAUGUUAUUCUACAUCCAGAGGAAAAUUACGUUUAAGUUGAUGAAAUCGUUUCUUUAACUUGGUUUCUUUAAGUGAAAAUAGCUUCGAGAAAAAUAAAAAUUUAUUUGAUUUCAAGAAAUGAUAUUAUUAGCCUUUGUUAAAGUAAAUAAAUUAUUUAUAACAAAUAAUUUUUUAAUUCAAAGAAAGUACCGACAAAAAUGUCAGAAAUAAUUCAGCUGUUCUAAAAAUACAUUUCUUUCAUUAAAAAAAAAAAAAUUUGCAAUACACAUCCAAACCUUUUCUUUAAUUCUAACAAAAGGAAUAACCAAAAAUUUUUUCAAGUCAAAGAAACUUUUCUUUGACCGCAUUUUUAACAAUGCACCAAUUUCUUUGAUUCAAACAAAUUCUUUUUUACUCGAAGAGAAUUUUCUCUGGAUGUACGGUCGGCGCAAUUAGAAGUGAUGAUAAAAAUCUGAUAAGAUCUACUUCAGAUUAACUGAAGGACACCGUUUAAUCCGCUUAAGCUCGGCUUCGCGAGUGUAGUCACCUUCAAACUCGAUUCAAAUUACUUCCUACCUUUCUCUAGCUCUGAGAAUUGGAAAAGUAUGGCAAACAAGGAAGUUAAACCGAGUUUAAAGUUGAGUUGCAUUCGUGCAAACGGGUCUUGGAAUCUGGCAACAUAUUUUAACGGCUUCUUUUUUUUCCUCUAGAAAGGCUUUCAGCUAGACAAUCCAGAGACAAAAUAUUAAAACACAACGAUUCCCGAACAACUGCAACGUGAAAUAGAAUUUUCUACGCGCUAAUUUUCAGAGGAGAAAACCAAGUCGUAAGUUAUAUGUUAGACGAGAUAAUCGACGAGAUACAACGAAACAUGACACAAUGGAGGGAUCCCGUCGCCACCGCUCCUUUGACGCAAAUAUUUCUCAUUACAUUCCAAGGUUCCUUCUUUUAUUCGGUCGGGUCAAACCAGAGAAUCUAUUACCUGAGUGCGAUUUUCGUACAUUUUGAUUUACAAGCGAAACCACUUACCUCAGGACGUAGGCGUCCACUUGAUCGUUUCGGCAGAAACUAAUGAUUUCGCAACGGACGAUCUUCAGCAGUGAUUCCCAUUUUUGCCUCUACGAUCGACGGAUAAUGUAAAUGCCAUUCGGUCGCUCGAGGGAACUAAACGUCGGAGCCAAACUUCAAACGGGCUUCUCUACGACAAGGUUUCGGCAACAACACAGUUUCGGAACAGCUUCCUCGGUCUUCGGUCAGAUCAACACAUUUCGCCCGGCGUGCGGUCGCCACUUACUUCAUCGGUCGGCGGCAGCGGUGGGCUUCUAAAUUUAUUGUCGCCGCGAUAUGCAAAAAUAAACAGUGGUCGGCAUCGCCGACCGGCCUCGCCCGUAGGCACGCGCGCUGCUCCUCGAGAGAGGUUCAACGACACCCUGACGUUCCCUGACGUAAACAACUACAACAAUCGGAUCGGCGGCGGCCGGCGAUUACAUAAUCGCUGCGCGAUCGUGCCGCAAUGUAGAUACAGGUUGAGCAAAUCUUGCCUUAUCUCCUUGCUGAUUACCUCGAGCUCCGAGCAUUUCGCUUAUCCAAAUUUCUCGCGCUAAGCAUCGAGUAUCGAGAAUUCUCGGGAUCGCAGGGACGGGCGAGAGAUCGAGACGAAUAGACAAUCGAGCGACCUCGACUAACAAGUCCUUCAUAUCGAAAGUCUAAGUCCAGCGAUAGGUUUGACAAGAUAGGAACUCGCCGAUUGUUUUCUUCACGCACGUUUUCUUCGCGUUCGCGGACGUGCCUAAACUAUUCUAGAAUGACGUCUAGACUGAUGACUCAAGCGAUUAUGAAUCGAGCAUCCAGGAGAGAAAUUGAAAUUUUAAAGAAAUGUAAAAAAAAACAGAUGUACGCGAUAUUUUACGAUUUUUACACCUCGAUUAUCUUUGACAGUAAUUUUCAGAGUAGUCCUUUUCUUUACACGUGUUGACAAAUUGUUUUCGUACACGAAACAAAAGAUGUAUUAACAGGAUAAUUAACUAUCUUAUUAAUUCUUAUUAAUAUUAUAUUAUAAUGAAACAAAUGCGUCUCGUUGUAAUAAAAUGUUGUUUGUUUCGUUAAUAUUGUUACCGGAUUAUAAUAAUUUUCGAAAAAAAAACUGUUGAGCUGUUAUUGCA